Molecule: ribosomal RNA, 198 nt
Filed under: uncultured bacterium
Lineage: Bacteria
Description: partial 16S ribosomal RNA
Rfam family: Bacterial small subunit ribosomal RNA
Source: RNAcentral
ACGCUCGACACCUACGGGAGGCAGCAGUGGGGAAUAUUGCACAAUGGGGGAAACCCUGAUGCAGCGACGCCGCGUGAGCGAAGAAGUAUUUCGGUAUGUAAAGCUCUAUCAGCAGGGAAGAAACUGACGGUACCUGACUAAGAAGCACCGGCUAAAUACGUGGCGGCAGCCGCGGUAAUCUGAGCGGGCUGGCAAGGC